RNAcentral lists this ribosomal RNA (524 nucleotides) under Bradyrhizobium sp. RNAcentral's name for it is "partial 16S ribosomal RNA". It matches the Rfam family "Bacterial small subunit ribosomal RNA", at positions 955 to 1477 of the family's 1533-position model. Lineage: Bacteria; Pseudomonadati; Pseudomonadota; Alphaproteobacteria; Hyphomicrobiales; Nitrobacteraceae. The record is from RNAcentral.
CGCAACGCGCAGAACCUUWCCAGCCCUUGACAUGUCCAGGWCCGGUCGCAGAGAUGUGACCCUCUYUUYGGAGCCUGGAGCACAGGUGCUGCAUGGCUGUCGUCAGCUYGUGUCGUGAGAUGUUGGGUUAAGUCCCGCAACGAGCGCAACCCCCGUCCUUAGUUGCUACCAUUUAGUUGAGCACUCUAAGGAGACUGCCGGUGAUAAGCCGCGAGGAAGGUGGGGAUGACGUCAAGUCCUCAUGGCCCUUACGGGCUGGGCUACACACGUGCUACAAUGGCGGUGACAAUGGGAUGCUAAGGGGCGACCCUUCGCAAAUCUYAAAAAGCCGUCUCAGUUYGGAUUGGGYUYUGCAACUCGAGCCCAUGAAGUUGGAAUCGCUAGUAAUCGUGGAUCAGCACGCCACGGUGAAUACGUUCCCGGGCCUUGUACACACCGCCCGUCACACCAUGGGAGUUGGUUUUACCUKAAGACGGUGCGCUAACCCGCAAKUGAGRCAGCCGACCACGRRWAWGGUAYRWUCA